CCGCGCUGUUGUGGCGCGACUCUUCGAGACGACCGCUGUAUCCCGUGGGAUGGCGCAAAAUAAUAAUACGUCAACCGUUAACUGUUGCUCCCCUCCGUCCCCCCCGGUACAUCGACACACAUCGGCACGUAGCCGGGCGUAAGAUGGUUUUCGUUUGUUUAUCGCGAAUUCUGUGGACACAAACGCCGUGCGUGAUGUUUCACGGUCGAGGACACGAGAGGCUCGGCACAGCGCAUGGAGGUUUUUGACGAAACCGCACGAAUUUGAAUUCGCGAGAGACUCGCUUGAGGUCUUGCAGGUAGAAGUUUCGAUUGAUCUCUACCGGUUCGCGAUGUGAAAUUUCUCUCGCUAAUCCGGUAAAAAAAGGCGGAAAAUCUGCUGGAAUUCGGACUCUCACUGAGAUUUUGGCUGUAUCGAGGCAAAAUGAUUGAAUGGUUGCAUGAUGAAAUUAUUCAUGUACUUCAUUACCAUGAAGUAUCGUCAGAGACAAGUCGCCAUAUUUACGAAUUUCGAGGAACGCGGCAAACUUCAGUUCCAAUGAUUCGCGGCACUUUUUCCCGCGCGUUGUGAAACAUGAAAACUAUUAAGCAUUGGAUACAAGGAAAAAGAAAAGCCUGGAAAGAAUACAUCAUGAACCCGUUCAUCGCACUAAUGUGUGAAGUGGCUGUUAUUGAGGGAUGAUGUAUCAUGUGACUGCGAUCACCGGGAAGGUUCUUCGGACUUAGGGUGCGCACACAGGGACCGUGGCACUGGAUACUAGGAUACAGAGAUCAAGUGACUCCCGAGAACCGCCUUCGACUUGACGUGUUCCUUACCCGCAGGAGAGUCAAUCAUUUUUUUAAAAAGAAGAAUUUUUUACAGGUAUUUUUUGCUCUUAAGAAAUUCAUAAAUCAAAAUUAAUUAAACAAUUGUAACACGUUAACCUGUUUACAAACGUUUGUGUAUUGUUUAAUAUUAUUAUACAUAUAAUGAUAAUAAUAAUGCUUGUUAUUAUCAUUAUAUAAUAAUGCUAUGAUAUUAUGUGCUUAUAUGUACCAUAUUUACUAUUCUAAUUUAUUCGUUUCUUAAAAAAAAGAAACAAUAGCAAUUAAAUCGUGCCUCUUUCGGUUUACUCAAAUUUUUGAAACAUUCUUUAAAUGUCUCAUAUUUCCCACGGGGAUUUUUGCGUUGUCCGAGUGAUCAUUCUCGUGUGCACUGCAACGUACACUUUGCGAGAAAAUGCAAUGCGGCGCGAGAGACUUGCGAGAAAUCAGCCUGCUUCCCCGCGCGCGCGACUUACGGGGUUCGAUUUGGACGCGUGUUAUUUUGUGUAACCACCUGUGGUGAGUGCGGCCAAUCACGCAUGAAAGUAACAAUGAAUAGCAUCGAAAUAGGCGGGAUAGACAGCCCAGACCGGUCAUUUUGUCUGGUGUGCGUUCGAGCAUCUGUGCCAUGCGCGCGCGCGUAUGUGUGUGUGUGUGUGUGUGUGUGUGUGUGUGUGUGUGUGCGCGCGCGCGCGCGUGUGUGCACGUGCGUGGGUUUCUCCAUGUGUACACACGCGUGUGCGGUUCACCGGAGUCCACCACGCCUCAGGCAUCCUCUUCCGCAUUUCAUGUCGUUGGAAGAGGAAAAAUUUCGCGAAACAUUCUGUCGAUUAUAUACACGGGGUAAAGAAUAUUCCUGUUAAAUACUGUUUUAUACAAUAUUGGAUUAAAAAUUUGUUUGCAACGAUACAAUUGAUGGGUGCGAUUUGCAUUGCUUUGAAAUGUAAUUAAUUGAGGAUUGAAGAUGCAUUUACAUAUCUCUUUAUAAUAAAAUGCAAUUUAACA
Monomorium pharaonis (pharaoh ant) is the source of this 1808-nucleotide long non-coding RNA. RefSeq lists it as uncharacterized. Lineage: Eukaryota; Metazoa; Arthropoda; Insecta; Hymenoptera; Formicidae. The record is from RefSeq and is a predicted model, not a curated record. The transcript is spliced from 4 exons.